Molecule: non-coding RNA, 151 nt
Organism: Lepisosteus oculatus (spotted gar)
Lineage: Eukaryota; Metazoa; Chordata; Actinopteri; Semionotiformes; Lepisosteidae
Source: RefSeq, a predicted model, not a curated record
CCCCUUCAUGGCCAGAGAGACCCAGCUGUUGCCCUGGUAGCUGACCAGGUUGUCUGCAUUGUCGACUCCACACACCCUUCCAGCACCAGCAUCUAUCUGCUUCAGACUGCCAGGCACAGCCCGACACUGCAGGGCUCCAGCCACAGACACU